Molecule: ribosomal RNA, 804 nt
Filed under: uncultured Bacteroidota bacterium
Lineage: Bacteria; Pseudomonadati; Bacteroidota
Description: bacterial SSU rRNA
Rfam family: Bacterial small subunit ribosomal RNA
Source: RNAcentral
AGGAGAGUUUGAUCCUGGCUCAGGAUGAACGCUGGCGGCAGGCCUAAUACAUGCAAGUCGGACGGUAACAUGUGGCAGCAAUGCGACGAUGACGAGUGGCGUACGGGUGCGUAACACGUGUGCAACCUGCCCCGCACAGGGACAAAACGCCGGGAAACUGGCGCUAAUAUCCCAUGACACCGCUGUGCGGCAUCGCGCGGCGGUCAAAGAGGCGACUCGGUGCGGGAUGGGCACGCGUCCCAUUAGGCAGUUGGCGGGGUGACGGCCCACCAAACCGACGAUGGGUAGGGGUUCUGAGAGGACGGGUCCCCCACACUGGAACUGAGACACGGUCCAGACUCCUACGGGAGGCAGCAGUAGGGAAUAUUGGUCAAUGGAAGGAAUUCUGAACCAGCCAUGCCGCGUGCAGGAAGACGGCCCUACGGGUUGUAAACUGCUUUUGCCGGGGGAUAGGGCGCCCCACGCGUGGGGCGGGGAAGGUACCCGGCGAAUAAGCAUCGGCUAACUCCGUGCCAGCAGCCGCGGUAAUACGGAGGAUGCGAGCGUUAUCCGGAUUCAUUGGGUUUAAAGGGUGCGCAGGCUGACCGGUGAGUCGGCGGUGAAAUGCACACGCCCAACGUGUGAAGUGCCGCCGAAACUGCCGGACUGGUAUGCUGGGGGCGCGGCCGGAAUGUGUCGUGUAGCGGUGAAAUGCAUAGAUAUGACACAGAACGCCGAUCGUGAAGACAGGUCGCGAACCAGAGAUAGACGCUCAAGCACGAAAGCGUGGGGAUCGAACAGGAUUAGAUACCCUGGUAGUCCCCU